UUGUGCCAAGCAGCCGCGGUAAUUCCAGCUCCAAUAGCGUAUAUUAAAGUUGUUGCGGUUAAAAAGCUCGUAGUUGGAUCUCGGCGGGCAGGGGGUGGUUCGCUCUUCAGCGCUACUGCCCCGCUUUGCCCGUGUGAUUGGCGGAGGUUUCGGGGUGCUCUUCGUUGAGUGACUCGGAGCGCCGUCAGGUUUACUUUGAAAAAAUUAGAGUGCUCAAAGCAGGCUUUUCACGCUUGAAUAUUCGUGCAUGGAAUAAUGGAAUAGGAACUCGUUUCUAUUUUGUUGGUUUUCGGAAAUCGAGUUAAUGAUUAACAGGGACAAUUGGGGGCAUUAGUAUUCAGACGACAGAGGUGAAAUUCUUGGACCGUCUGAAGACUGACUACUGCGAAAGCAUUUGCCAAGAGUGUUUUCAUUAAUCAAGAACGAAAGUUAGAGGUUCGAAGGCGAUCAGAUACCGCCCUAGUUCUAACCAUAAACGAUGCCAGCUAGCGAUCUGCCGAGUUUUUUUUGUAGGCUCCGCAGGAAGCUUUCGGGAAACCAAAGCUUUUGGGUUCCGGGGGAAGUAUGGUUGCAAAGCUGAAACUUAAAGGAAUUGACGGAAGGGCACCACCAGGAGUGGAGCCUGCGGCUUAAUUUGACUCAACACGGGAAAUCUCACCAGGCCCGGACACUGGAAGGAUUGACAGAUUGAGAGCUCUUUCUUGAUUCGGUGGGUGGUGGUGCAUGGCCGUUCUUAGUUGGUGGAGUGAUUUGUCUGGUUAAUUCCGAUAACGAACGAGACUCUGUCCUGCUAAAUAGUUGGGUCGUCCUUCGUGCGAUCCAAGUUCUUCUUAGAGGGACUGGCUGCGUCUAGCAGCACGAGAUUGAGCAAUAACAGGUCUGUG
Molecule: ribosomal RNA, 884 nt
Filed under: uncultured eukaryote
Lineage: Eukaryota
Description: SSU rRNA
Rfam family: Eukaryotic small subunit ribosomal RNA
Source: RNAcentral